CCCUAUUAUUAUAAUAAAUUAAAAAUUAGUAUAAUUGAAAAUUAAUAAUUUUGGCGGUUGAUUUUUUUUUAGAGGAGCUUGUUAUUAAGUAGAAUUGGCUCUUUAAAUUUUAGUAUUAAUAUAAUUUAUUCAUCUCCGUUAUCAACAAAAUUAAUUUAAUAAAUAUUUUUAGUAUAUCAGGUCAAGAUGUAGUUUUUAUUAAAUAUAAUUAGCUAUAUUUAUGGAAUGAAUGGAUUUUAUAAAAUCAAUAAUAUGUAUAUAAAUUUGAAUUGAAUUUAAUUGUAAUAAUAAUUAGAAAGUUAUUAUGAAUAACAUUAAUUAAUGUA
This 326-nucleotide ribosomal RNA is filed under the name Acanthogonyleptes pulcher. RNAcentral describes it as "partial 12S ribosomal RNA". The record is from RNAcentral. Lineage: Eukaryota; Metazoa; Arthropoda; Arachnida; Opiliones; Gonyleptidae.